AUUGAACGCUGGCGGCAUGCUUUACACAUGCAAGUCGAACGGUAACAGGCCUUCGGGUGCUGACGAGUGGCGAACGGGUGAGUAAUGCAUCGGAACGUACCCAGAGGUGGGGGAUAACGCAGCGAAAGCUGUGCUAAUACCGCAUGUGAUCUGAGGAUGAAAGCGGGGGACCGAGCAGCAAUGUUUGGCCUCGCGCCUUUGGAGCGGCCGAUGUCGGAUUAGCUAGUUGGUGGGGUAAAGGCCUACCAAGGCGACGAUCCGUAGCUGGUCUGAGAGGACGACCAGCCACACUGGGACUGAGACACGCCCCAGACUCCUACGGGAGGCAGCAGUGGGGAAUUUUAGACAAUGGGCGCAAGCCUGAUCCAGCAAUGCCGCGUGAGGGAAGAAGGCCUUCGGGUUGUAAACCGCUUUUGGCAGGAACGAAACGGUGUCCGCUAAUACCGGGCGCUAAUGACGGUACCUGCAGAAUAAGCACCGGCUAACUACGUG
This 492-nucleotide ribosomal RNA is filed under the name uncultured bacterium. RNAcentral describes it as "partial 16S ribosomal RNA". It matches the Rfam family "Bacterial small subunit ribosomal RNA", at positions 30 to 507 of the family's 1533-position model. The record is from RNAcentral.